AGGCCAUGCCCUUUGCCCUGAACUUCUCUGCACCACCCCGGUUCAUCUCCGCCAAGGAAUCUGUCUGGCCUCCUGCCCCCCUGCCAGCCCCUCCCUGGCCUCCCAGGACCUCAGGACCAAGUCCAGAGUCCUCCCAGGACUGGCGAAGCCUCCACAUCGCUCCGAGAGUUCCCAGCUGGGCUGUCAGCCCAGCAGAGAGGAUGUGGGAAUCAGGAGGCCCUACGGGGCUCAACUUCAGUGGGCCUAGAGCGGAGACCCAGCUCUGGGGGCCCGGCCAAGCCUCCGAGGACCACGGAACGCCCUCUCUGCUCCACAGGGUCCCCGUGAGUACAGAGAAGCUGGGGCAGCAGAAGCAGGAGGAGCUGGGGCAGGAGGGGCUGGGAUAGGAGGGGCUGGGGCAGGAGGAGCUGAGGUAGGAGGAGCUGGGGCAGGAGGAGCUGGGGUAGGAGGGGCUGGGGUAGGAGGGGCUGGGGCAAGAGGAGCUGGGGUAGGAGGAGCUGGGGUAGGAGGGGCAGGAGGAGCUGGGGUAGGAGGGGCUGGGGCAGGAGGAGCUGGGGCAGGAGGAGCAGGAGGAGGUGGGACAGGAGGAGUUGGUGUAGGAGGAGGAGCUGGGGCAGGAGGAGCUGAGGCAGGAGGAGCUGGAGCAGGAGGAGCUGGGGUAGGAGGAGCUGGGGUAGGAGGAGCUGGCCUGGACAUGGCUUCGUUCUGGAGGAGGGGGUGGAAUGUGCUCCUCUCUGCUCAGUUUCCCAGCCUGGCCAGGCCUCCUUCCCCACUGCCUCUCUUGGCCAACAUCCCAGCUCUCCCCUUCACAGGGCCCUGGGCUCUCUCCUCCCUGGGUCAGCACACACAUGGUUCCUCAUCAGCCCAUGAGCCAUUGUCCCCUCUUGCUCCCAGCCUCGCCUUCUCAAAUGCAAAUCCAAUCCUGUUCCCACAGCUUUAGGACCAGGUCCCUCCAGCCUGGCCUCUGUGUCCCUCCUGAGCCCUGUCUCCCCUGCCAUGCCUGAUCCACUGUGUCUGGCCACCCUGGGGCCUUUCCCAUCCUGGAGGUGGGGGCCUUGCUCCCUUUUCCUCCGGAAGGAGGUUGACAGUUCCCUGGGCCUGGAAGACACUCCCUUCCCCACCUGCUCAGCUGCAGCCCUGACUCCCUUUUCUGCGAGACCAGAACUGCUCUCCAACAUCUAGUUCCUGGGUCUAAAUCACCUGCGUCCCCACCACCCUGGAGGGUAGACCUUGGCUGUGCUCUGCCCACCUUGGGUUCUCUGCAUCUAAGCCAGUGGAUAUUUGGUGAGUAAACGAAUUUAGGAUUGGUGAAGUGGCUCCCAGCACUUUGGGAGGUCGAGGUGGGAGGAUCACUUGAGGCCAGGAAUCUCAGACCAGCCUGGGCAACACAGCAAAAGAAAAAAAAAAAUUAAGAAUUAGCUAGCAGUGGGAACACACACCUGUAGUUCCAGCUACUUGGGAGGCUGAGGUGGGAGAAACGCUUGAGACAGUGAGCUAUGAUUGCACUACUGCACUCCAGCCUGGGCAACAGAGCAAGACCUUGCCUACAAAAAAUUAAAAAAGAAAAAAAUUAUUUUCUGGCCCCAAAGAUCUAGUCUUCACAGAGGUUAGCCUAGUUGUAAACAGACAAAAUAAACCCUGAUAGUGCAUCCAAAGAGCCCUUGAGUACAAUAAAUACUAAAACACACAGGCAGGCUGGGUGCCGUGAGAUUACAGUGGGGAGGAGGAGCUGAUCGUGAAAAGCUUCUUAGCAGAGGGUCAUCUGGGCUGGCUCCAUAGGAAGGACAUUCCUGGGAGCAGAAACAGCACAGGGGAGGGGCCAGCUGGAGGUGGGGGAGCAUUUUCCAAAAAGACCGGUGGUGAGGGGCGUGUGGCUGGAGGGGAGGCCAGAUGGCAGGCACGGGGUGCCUCGAGGAGGCACUGAUGGGACCCAGGGUACCACGUGGGAUCUGAGGGUGUCUGUGGAGCAAGGGGCCGAGGAACAGCUUACACUGGCUCUGGACUAAGAGUUCCCUAGUAGCAGUGGGGAGGAGAGACAAAAGCCCCCAGAAGGGGUGGGGCUGGAGGGAGAUGACACUACUCUAUACUUCUCUGUUUUUCUUUUUAUAGUGUGUUAUAUAUCUUUUUUAAGAAACAAAAUAUCAUUGUAAAAUAGAAAUGGCCAGUGGGAAAGAGUCAGGUGAGUAGGUGAAGGGCAGAUCAGAGAGGGAGCAUCCCUCUAGGGCAGAAAAGGGAGGAGUCUCAGGCUUAGGAGGUGGGAGGAUGAGGCAGGGGCUAAGACUGGGAGGCUGCUGAGCUUGGCAUUGAAGGGGGGUCCUGUGGGGUGAGUCUGAGGGGUGAAGAAAGCCCUGGUUUCAUUCUGGAACAGUUCAAAUAGAAGGUGGGUCCCCCAAAAUUUAUUCUUUAUGGCCUGGUGGUUCAUGCCUGUCAUCCUAGCACUUUAGGAGGCUGCAGUGGGAGAAUUGCUUGAGCCCAGGCUGAGGCUGCAGUGAGCUAUGAUCGUACCACUGCACUCCAGCCUGGGUGACAGAACAAGACCCUAUCUCUACAAAAAAUAAAAAUAAGGCUAGGAGCAGUGGCUCACACCUGUAAUCCCAGCACUUUCAGAGGCUGAGGCAGGUGAAUCAGUUGAGGCCAGGAGUUCUAGACCAGGCUGGCCAACAAGGCAAAACUCUAUCUCUACUAAACAUACAAAAACUAGCCAGGUGUGGUGGUGUGUGCCUGUAGUCCCAGUUACUCAGGUGGCUGAGGCAUGAGACUCGAUUAAGCCCGGGAGGCGGAGGUGGCAGUAAGCCAAGAUCGCUCCACUGCACUCCAGCCUGGGUGACAGAGCGAGACUCCAUCUCAAAAAUAAAAGAAAAAAAAUAAAACCAUUAACUAGGUAUGGUAGCACACACCUGUAGUCCCAGCUAUUCAGGAGGCUGAGGCAGGAGGAUCACUUGAACCCAAAAGUUCAAGGCUGCAGUGAGCCGUGAUUGUGCCGCUGCACUCCAGCCUGGGGUGCAAGAUCUUAUCUGUAAAAAAAAAAAUACAGAAAUAAAAAUUUAAAAGUAUCCUUCAGAAAAGAGGGUGCUGCCUUCUUAAGUCCUUAGAAAGUAUCUCACAGCAUGAGGCUCUCAAUUAGUUUAUUUUGACAGCCACACACUAUUCGGGAACUGAGGGAGGAGUUUGAAAGCUGGGAGCAAUAUGUAUGGAGGUCGCCUGGCAGAAUCCACUGAAAAGAUGUCAGAAAUAAAUUUAACUCAGAUUAGUCAUUUUUCCAGGAGUAGAACCUCACAUUUGCAAGCUUUGGCUGUCUUUGUAAAUCAGUCUUUUAAAUGCAACUUUAAAAAUACAGCCAGUGGGGCCAGGUGCAGUAGCUCAAACCUGUAAUCCCAGCACUUUGGGAGGCAGAGGUGGGCGGAUCAGCUGAGAUCGGAGUUCAAGACCAGUCUGACCAACGUGAAGAAACCCCAUCUCUCCUAAAAAUACAAAAUUAGCUGGGUGUGGUGGUGCAUGCCUAUAAUCCCAGCUUCUCAGGAAAGCUGAGGCAGGAGAAUCGCUUGAACCUGGGAGGGGGAGGUUGCGGUGAGCCGAGAUCACGCCAUUGCACUCUGGCCUGGGCAAUAAGAGUGAAAUUCCGUCUCAAAAAAAAAAAAAAGUACAGCCAGCGGUUACAUUUUGAAAUGUGAUCAUAAAACCACUACCACCUGGACCACCAGCCUCAGGUCCAGCACACCAGCACUCGUGGCUUGGGAAGAAAUGCUCCAAUCAUGGCAUGUCCUGUUCAGAAUUUUUUUCUUUUUUCUUUUUUUAGACAAGAGUCUUGCUCUGCCACCCAGGCUGGAGUAUAGUGGCAUGAUUUCAGCUUGCUGCAACCUGUAUUUUCCCGGAUUCACGCAAUCUGCCCACUUCAGCCUCCCGAGUAGCUGGGACUACAGGUGCACACCACCAUGCCCAGCUCAUUUUUGUAGAGAGGGGGUUUCACUAUGUUGUCCAGGCUGGUCUUAAACUCCUGGGUUCAAGCUGGAUCUCCCCGCCUCGGCCUCCCAAAGUGCUGGGAUUACAGGAGGGAGCGGCUGCGCUCAGCAUGAGCAGAUUUCUAAAUCAUCACAUGAAUUGCAAACAGUUUAGCUGAAAGUGGAGGAUGUCAGGCAUGGAAAACUGUGUGAGAGGAUCCAGAACACGGGGACUAAGCUGCCGGUGCAGCCAAGUCUCAGGAGUGCCAUGAGAGGCAUCCUCUUAGAUCAGUGUUUUCUUUUAGAUAUGACUUUAAAUAUUCGUGAUGUGUGACCAGAUUAACAUAUUAAUUAUUAACAAGUUGGCAUUUGACACUUUGGUCCACACUUAUCAAAAGCUCAUACUUUUGGCCGGGCUCGGUGGCUCUUGCCUGUAAUCCCAGACCUGUGGGAUGUUGAGGUGGGUGGAUCAUGAGGUCAAGAGAUCAAGAUCAUCCUGGCCAACAUGGUGAAACUUCGUCUCUACUAAAAAUAAAAAAAUUAGCCGGGCAUGGUGGCACCCGCCUGUAGUCCCAGCUGCUUGGGAGGCUGAGGUGGAAGAAUCGCUUAAACCCAGGAGGCGGAGGUUGCAGUGAGCCGAGAUAGUGCCACUGUGUUCCAGCCUGGCGACAGAGCAAGACUCCCUCUCAAAAAAAAAAGCUCAUACUUUCAAGUUGACUAGAUGGGUUUCCUUUUUUUUGCAGUGUCUUUUUUGGAAAAGUGGAGCCUCACACAGCUCAAGCCGCUUGAGCCUGAAGUGCGUGCAUGUGUGUGCAUAUUUAUGUGUGUUUCAUGUGUAUGUCUGUUGUCAUGUAUGUGUUUGUAUGUGCCUGUGUGUAUGUGUAUGUGGGGGGCAAGUUUGUGUAUGUUUGUCCUUGCAGGUAUGUUUUUGGAUGCACGUUUGUAUGUUUGCAUGUGCGUCUGUGUGUAUUUGUACACGUGUGUUUGUGUGCAUGUCUGUGCGAGGUGUGUUGUGUGUAUAUAUCUGAGAGUGCAGGCAUUGGUGUGUGCACGUGCACGUUGGUGCAGUGUGCAUUUUCAAGCACGUUUGCAUUGUUGCAUGUGUGUGCAUGGGUUUGUGGGCAUAUGUCUGCUCAUGUGCAUGUGUUUGCACGUACAUUUGCAUUGUGGUGUUUUGUGUGUGCAUGUGUCUUUGUCUGUGUGUGUGGACAUGCAGUAGUCUGGAAUGUUCAGGAGGUGGGUUUUGUCUUGGAGCCUCUGGGAACUGUCUGGUGGGGUCACCUGGCCUCACUACAGAUGUGGCAGCAGAGUUGAGGGCUGCUGAGGGGGUAGCCCCUGUGGGGGACUCUUGAAGACAUUGAGGGAGACAGGAAUGAUCUCUGGAUUUCUGGCAGGGACAACCAUGUGGCUUGUAUGUCAUUUACUGAACAGGGAGCAGGGUCACAGGUGAAGGUAAAUUGAAGCCGAGCUAAGCUGAAUUGGAGGCAUCUGAGACAUGAAUGUGCAGACGUCCAGUAGAUGAUCCAGGCAGGUCGGGGUGUUGGGGACAGAGCCAACACCCACACUCAACAGGCAGAGGGUAGGACUGAGUGCCAGGGCAGAAGAGAAAUCCUGAAAGCAGGGAGGAGUGAUGAGGAGGGAAGGGCAUACUCCUGGGUGAGGGUAGCUGGGGUGGGUGAUGAACGGGAUGGGGGGUGGGGGGGAGGGGGCGGUAAGUGGAGUGGAGCCUGCAGCCCGAAGCAUGCUGGGGGAGAGGUGGGUAUGAGAAGGGAAUGGGGCGGGCGAGGCUGCAAGGAGUGGGAACCAGCACCCUUUGUAUAACUUAUGCAAGCUGUGACCUGGCCCACCCACUCACACCCUUCCCUGCUUUCAUUUCUUUGCAAGCCUGGCCUGGGAAGGGAAGAGCUGGUGGGGAGGAAGCCCCCAGACUGGGCCGCCAUGAAUGGCAACCGCGGGAGCCCUGGCAGGGCUGCACUCUCUCCUUUGAAUCCCAGGCUGCUCUGGGGCUUCAUUAACGAAUAGCUCAGGGGCACCCCCUCCUCUUAUUCAGAAAGGGACAUAGCACCAUGGAAACGUCCCUCAGGUUCCUGAGGCAGGCCCCAUCUAAUGGGGCUGGCCCUUGCGGCUGUCAAAGGGCCUGGCUCCCAGGAACCAAUGGGAAGGUGCUGGCCGAAGGCCAUUAGCUGGCACCCACACAGAGACGAGCCACCCUGUUCCACAGCCCGUCAUUCAUAUUCCAAGCCCAACAGCAGUGCUGAAAGGAGUGAGGGAUUCAGAGGCUUACUUCUUUUUUUUCCCUAUGUCCCCCAGGGACCUUGGAGGAAUCUCAUAUUUAAAAUUAUCUUGGCAAGAGCCUGUGGUGACUCUCGCUUGGUCUUUGAGGCGGCCCACAUGCACUGAGCGCGUGCCUGGGAGCACCAAAAAUCAGUGAGCUGGAUGGGGAAGAGGAAGAGGGAUUCUCCCUGUGUGCCUGUGCCUGUGUGCACGGAUGUCCGUGCUCACAUACGUCCGUGUCUAUCCAUACCGCUGCCCAAGGCGGGUGGAGGCCCGAGGUUGGACCUUCCCCCUCCUCCUCUCACCAGCUCUAGCUGGCAAGCCCUCACAGGCUGUUUUCCUCUCUGCCGCUGGGUCUGAACCCCUCAGGGACAUAACAGCUGGAGGCUGCCGAGGCUGUGAGUUUGCAGUGGGUGACUGCCUGGUACACCAUGCUCUCCAUUGCCACAGGCUCCUUCAGGUCCUACCAGUUCCUCUGCAAAGCGCAAAUUUUCAAAUGAACUGCUUGCCAGAAUAAGCCAUUGAGGUGUAAAGAUGGGCUCAGGGCAGGGCACAGUGGCUCAUACCUGAAAUUUCAGCACUUUGGGAGGCCAAGGCGGGAGCAUCGCUUGAGGCCAGGCAUUGUACACCAGCCUGGGCAAUACAGCAAGAUCCUAUCUCUACCAAAAAUUGAUUGAUUGAUUGAGACGGAGUUUUGCUUUUGUCGCCCAGGCUGGAGUGCCAUGGCUCACUGCAACCUCCACCUCCCAGGUUCAAGUGAUUAUCCUGACUCAGCCUUUUGAGUAGCUGGGAUUAUAGGCACCCACGACCAUGCCUGGCUAAUUUUUGUAUUUUUAGCAGAGAUGGGGUUUCACCAUGUUGGCCAGGCUGGCCUUGAACCUCUCACCUCAGGUGAUUCACUGCCUCAGCCUCCUAAAGUGCUGGGAUUGGCCAGGCAUAGUGGCUCAUGCCUGUAAUCCAAGCACUUCGGAGACUAAGGCAGGUGGAUCACCUGAGGUCGGGAGUUCAAGACCAGCCUGACCAACAUGGUGAAACCCUGUCUUUAAAAAAAAAAAAAAAAAAAAGUGCGGGGAUUACAGGCAUGAGCCACUGUGCUCCACCCCCCAAAUAUUUUAUGUUAGCCAGGUGUACGCCUGCAGUUUCAGCCACUUGGGAGGCUGAGGUGGGAGGACCGCUUGGGGCCAGGAGUUCAAAACCAGCCUGGGCAACUUAGCAAGACCCCCAUCUCUACAGAAAUUUUUAAAAGAAGUGGUUGGCCAUCGUGGUGCACACCUAUAAUUCCAGCUACUUGGGAGGCUGAGGCAGGAGGAUCACUUACACCCAGAACUUUGAGGCUGUAGUGAGCUAUGGUUGCACCACUGCACUCCAGCCUGGGCAAGAGAGCAAGACCCUAUCUCAAUAAAAAAAUAUACAUAUAUUUUCACACACACAGAUAUAUAGGAGAAUGAUAGAAAAUGGGUUUGGGCAAAUGCCAGAGCCAACCACAGUAACUGUGGAGGCUUCAGACAAACUCCGCCCAGGAUUUAGCACCCCAGGGCAGGCAGCCACAAGUGCACAAAGCCACAGAUGCACCUUGUUCUAUGCAACAAAAUAUUGAAAAACAAAACCCAGAUAUCAGCUCCUUUUGGUCAUUCCCAUCUAUGUUUGAUUCCUCAGUAAAUUAUUCUUUCCUUGCUCCUGAAAAAGAAAUGAAAUCAAAUUUGGAGAAAUAACUCCCUCACGCACACACAUUUUUGUGGGCUCACUUGUAUCUAAGGAACAGAAAUUCCACGAGGGACCCUGGUGUCAAGAGUUGCACCCCAGUUCAUGCAUGGCAGGGAGCUGGCAGCGGGACCUGUCCCUGAAGCUGGCUCUCCAACCCCUAGCCUGCACUGUGACCACAGCAAAAUGCCAGAAGCCUAGAGAAGUUGGGUUUCUGAAGCAGAUCCUUUGUGCAGCCUGAGUACGUGCAGUGGGAACACACCUGGAGGUAAUUAAAAGGCUUUAUAGGGCAAUCAAGGCACCCUGAAAAACAACUUUUUAUUUAAAAGCCAAUAAUGAGUUGUACAAGAAAGAAAACCUUAUCCCUUAUCGCUUUUAAGGGUGCUUAUCCAUCCAUGGUGUGUACCAGACAGGGUUGUUGGCACUGUGUAGGUGCUGCCGGCAGGCCCUUGGGAGCUUGGCGAGGUGGGAGCCUUGAGAAAUAUCUGGCUCGGACCCAUGGCGAGGUUUGUGUGUCAACUCCCUGGUUCUCAGAGAAUCUCUGAGUCACAUGAGAGCAGACACUGCUUCCAAAACCAAAGGAGAAAUUUUGCAAUCGUUUGGACAGGUUAUAAUAGAAUCUCAUUCAGAUCUUGAAGGUUAUUGGUACUUUCUGCAAGUUUUUAUUCUUCAAAAAUACAGCAAAGCUUUGCUGUACUUAUCUUGGUAGGAGCUCUAGGUUGGGCUAUCUUUUCUUAAUUCAACUGGCUUUUUUGCAAGGAAGGGGGUUUCUGGUCCAUCUGAGGGAUCAAGGGCACAGUCUGUACAAAAAUAGACAUUCAGCAGGCAGACCACAGCCAGAGUGUGCGACCAGCAUCGUUUGGCUAUUUUAGUCUCUUCUUAAUACAUAGACUAACGAGCAAAGAAAGGCUACUUUGUCCAACACGGGGCCCUGGGUUGGAGUUUAGCCCUGCUUGGUUCUGCCCACUAGUCUCACAUCAUGUCACUCACCCGAGGCCUGGGGGAACGGUGGUCUUGGUGGUCUUCUUUGGCCCUUCCACCUCUUCUCCCUUGUGGGGACCACCCAAGCCCUCUCCUCACUUGCCCAGAGGCUGCAUGCCUCUCUGGCAUCACAGUCUGCACAGGAACUGGCUGUAGGACUCCACUGAACUCCCCCUGGGGCUGGCUUUGUGCCCAAGGCACAUCCACCUCACUUCUGCCUCCUUUCUGCUGGUUUCUGGCCUGUUUGGUUCCAGCCCCUCCCCGCACUCUCUCUGCAGCUGUGCCUGGUGGGUGAUAUGAACCAAGGGACACUGAGGAUUGUGGCAAUGCCUGGACUGUUUGGUAAUCACUGGCAGUCGGUCCCUGGCUUCUGAGCCUGGGCCCUCCUCCUUGUUCUCCCUGUCCUGGAUCAGCAGGACAUGCUGGGGGGACAAGGUCCUACAAAGGCCUUGUAAGAGCUGUGCCCUAUGUCAGGAGAGCCUCCUAUAUCUCCAGGGAUGUCCCUGGAGCUCUCCAGCUGAUGCCUCUGCUGAGGUCCCUAAGUGGCAGGAACAGGACUCUAGGGGAGGAGUUGGGGACAGGCCUUUAAGGGGAGGGUGCACCUCAGGUAAGCUGCACCUGCAGCUCACCAGCCCCUGCAUCAGGGCCUGUAGGGCUGAGGGCCCCACAGGGUCGUGGGGUGAGCCUUAUGCUGUGCUGAGGUGCAGGAUCUGAGAAAUAAAGAGACAGGACACAGAAGUACAAGGAAAACGCAGCUGGGCUCAGGGGGUCAUGCCACCUAUAAGCGGAGUCAGGCGAGGCCCUGAAUGUCCAGAAGCAUGAGUAUUUAUUGUGUAUAGGUUAGGGGGCAGGGCAGUGAGUGAAUUCAUCUUUAAGGAUAGUGAUAGGGUCGUGAAGAAUAAAACAUGGGGUCGACCCCCAUUAGGUCACCUAGGCCGGGAGGUGGACAGUGCACAGCAAGGGGCCUGUUCCCAUGAAGGCAAGGGCCGUGAGCAGUAAGGGGGUGCAGUGUCCAAUACUUCUAUCUAUGGGCAAACUACUUCUAAGAAGAUUUAUAGGAGGAUGCUUUAAGUCACAUAGCGGUGACAGAGCUGUCAGUGUUACCGCCACCUUCUGGCGGCUUCCAAUGAGUUCUACAGGAAGAUGCUUUUCGAGCAGCAUAGUAGCAAGAGCUGAUAAAGUUCACAGUCACCAAGGUGGAUUGCCGUUCUGAGGGCAGGCUUCUACAAGAACUGGAGCAAGGUCCUACAACUCGUUUAUCAGGAGGAGUGGCUCUCGCCCCAAGUCUGCCAUACAGCGGGUAUCUUUACGAUACUGAAUGCUGCCACCUGGGCCAUGGAUUCUUGUCCUGGUAUAACUGUUUUUCCCUUAAAUCAUGCUCUGCACUGUGUCUGCUCUAGGCAUUUCUCUGAUUAUAAACUGCUUAUUCCUUAAUCCAUGCUCUGUACUGUGUCCACUCUAGGCAUUCCUCCGAUUAUGAACUAAGAUAUAAUUAUAGGUAUAUAUUUUAGGGAAUAUAUAAUUAUAGGGAAAUAUUCUUUAGGCACUCAUACUAUCAACUAUUAUAUGUUUCUAUAUAGAGGAUUAUAUAAAGGGAUUCGUCAAGCCCUAUUUCUAUAAACUAAUAUAUGAUUAUGAGGAUUAUAUAAAAGGAAAUAGCUGAGUAGUAACACUAUAAAUUGAGAUAUUCCUCAAACCCUUACUGUGCCAGCGUUCUGCUUAGCUCUCAUUCCUCGGUGCCUAUAUGGGGGGUUACCCACAGAGGCCAGCUUCAGCCUCAGCAGUGUCUGCUCUACCGGUGUGGCUGCUGUUAACACAGCGGGGCCAGGCCCUGGAGACUGUGACAUCUUCGGUGGCUGCUUGUUUAAAGGGCAUGGGAUGGAGAAAGAGUAUGUUCUUUUAAAGCUGGACCCAACAGCCUCUGAUAGCAGAUACAGCUUUGCUGCUGUUCUUUAAGUUCAAGGUGAUGUGGAGGUGUUGCAGUGACAAUCAGGACACCAUGAGCAACAUGUGCCACCAACGUUUACCCCGAAGUGUUCACACCUGGGCCUGCUUUGGCACUUAACGCUGGGGCAAAGGUCACUUUCUUGGGGACUUACCCUCCACUUCCAGUCUCCCCAGGAAUUGUCCUGUCUCCUGCCUUCCUAGGCCCUGCCAGCAGCUUCAGCAGCACCUCUGCCCACCCCACUCCACCACUGGCUCCAACAGCCUGGCCCCGCCCAUGGCUUAGCCCCACCCAUAGUUCAUCCCGCCUAUGACCCCCACGCCUCUCAACGUUCAGCCCACCCACAGCUCAUCCCUCCCACGGCUAGGCCCCGCCCACACCUCGUACCUCUCAAGGCUCAGCCCCACCCCCGGCUCACCCCUCCAUGGCUAGGCCCCGCCCCAGCUCACUCCCCCAUGGCUAGGCCCCGCCCACAGCUUGGCAGCCUGGGCAAGCGUGGCGACAGGCAGCUCCACGACUAGAGACAGGAACCAGGGGUUUGUCUUUCGGAGUACCCCACCCCAGGAAGGCAGAGUCCAAGGCUUUCUGGCUGCUCCCCGACUCCAUGGGCUCCUCUUCCCCUCCUAAGUCCCCUCAGGGCCAGAACUCCUGGCCCUCAGGACCUGGGGCAGCAGGCAAGGAGGCCUCUCUGCCUGGUGCGGCCUCCAUGGAACAAAACUACAUUGCAGUGUUCCAGAAUCACAGAACAGCCCGAUGGGCUGUCCCCAGCAAAGGGGACUGGUGACCAGCACUGGACACAGCAUCAGCUGGUCACAGGCUUGAGAAUGCAUUGUUUUACCCAGGGAGCUUCAAGACGGAUGCUGGCUUUUAACAGAGCAGCCCUGCUGCACCAAAGGAGGACACGGCCGGUUACCUACGGACUAUUCUUCACCAACCCCGAGGCAGGGAUCCCCUCUCCAUACCCAUAACCCAAAGUUCUAGGCCACUGGUUCCCAAGAGUGAGCAUGUCCUGCAGAAAUACGUGGGUUUAAUGAGAGGGAGCAGCUGCCACAGAACGGAGGAUCUCCCCCAGCGAACAUGCAGGUACCUCACCUUCUGAGGGCUUUCGAGGGUGGACUGGUUCCUAGGACCUGCAGCUUUGAGCCGGCAGGCAGAGAGGGCCGGGAUGGUGCCCCAGGGAGUGGACCUGGGCAGGUAUGGUGAUGAGGGCAGGGGUCUACAGAGGGCCUGUGUCAAUUACGCAGUCCAUCAAGUUAUCAGCCAGUUCAGUGGAAAAAAAUGGUUUUGGCAACUCACAGUCCAAAUGAGGAAAACAUGUGAGCAAGCUAGACCCUCGGCUGACUUGUUUCCACCCACUGUAGAAACAGAGCCUACGUGGAGACGGGCCAGGCAGCGAGCUGCAGGGUGGAGCUCGUCCUUCACUUUGGGUGGCCCCAUCGCUGAGUGACUGGGAGAGGAUGGGUUGGGCUGGGCACACCUGUGUCCUCCUCCCACAGGGCAGGUGGACUUUUGAAGCUCCUUUCUCCCUUCCACAAGACACUGAGUUGGGGCCAUCAGCCCCUGACUGACGUGGAGGAGGCCCCAGGCUCAGGCUUGGCUCCCAGGGGUGACUCAGAAGGCUGCCAUGCUGCAGAAGAAGCGCCCAGGGAUUAGACUGUUCCCGUGAACAGAAGCCUUGGGAGAAGGCAUUGGCUGUGUAAGGAGGGGUUUUCUAAUGCUAGUCUCUCCUGAGACUGAGGCCAGCCCUGGCAGGAGUCCUGACAAGGGUGCUGUGGAUCUGGACAUCAGGCCUCGGCUGUGCAGGGGUCUAGAUGCCCCUGAAGGCCCACCCGGGUCUAAGGCUCUUCUUCUUGAUGCCCUAACAAGGGCUAAUCUCACACACAAGCAAGAGAUGGGCAUAGACACUGUGUGCUUACCCCAGGACCUCCUUCUUAGGCCUCUGCAGCUGCUGCCUCCAAGGGCUCUGCACACCAAGCCCAGCUGUGGAGCUGUGAGUGCAGAGGCCACACACAUGGGGUGAUGGGGACUGUCCCAGACAGCAGGUGCGACGUGCUCCAUCAUGAGCCUAUGCUCUCCCUUGAAUGGCGGGCCUGCCUCCUCACUCUCCUCUCCUCUUCCCCCGGGUGACCCCACAGAAGCCAAGGCACCUGCUGGGCUUGGUAACAGAUGUUGCCCUGCUGUUCUCAAAAGCAAGUGUGAUGCAGCUUUUGUGAUUAUAAUUUGGGAUUUAAAAAAAUCUUCAUUUACGCAGUGACAGAAUCCACCUAGAAUCCUUCCUGGGAAGGGCAGCUCUGGAGGGCAGUGCUCCAGGGGGCAGGGAGGGUGAUAGGGGAAAGGAUGGUGUGAGGGGCUGGGGCGUGGAGUAAGCUCAUGUGGGGACCUGGGUGUCUUUAGCUCCUCACUGGCUUGAGACAGGCCAUGUUUUUCCAUGGAGAUGGGGGAAGCUGGUCUCACACCUUCCUAAGGCAUAGCAGGUCGUGUCUGCCUGGCCUAUUGGGCCGAGAUCGGGGGCAAAUCCUGGUUGUCGAGGGUGUCACCAGGAAGAGGGGCAUGGUGUUGGCACUGGCUGCUAAUAGCAGCUCCUCACAGGUCAAGGUUGUGGGCAGACUGCAAGGUGCUGUCAGAGAACCUGUCACUGCAGGCUCCCUGGUGGCCCCGAGUUCACAGAAGACGUGUCUGUUGGACUGAAAAACCACCAUCCGAGCUGCAGCUGGAGAUGAGGAGAUGCAAGCCACUGGCACUUCCCAGAGAAUGAAGCAAAGGCAUUUGGGAUUCCUUCAACAAACAAAAGCACAAAGAGAAAGAGAAGCGGUGCAGAUAUUGAGGUGUUAAGUAGGUAUCAUCCUUCUUCUCCUAACACGAUUAAUUAUCUUUCCAGUCGUAGUUCCUGUGUCCUCUGCAGCAUGGCCAUCACGGCAUGGAGGCAAUGAUGGAGACCUAGACUGGGAAGUUCUUCUUCGUGGGCAGAGAUGGGGCAAUGAUGAUAUCGUUGGAGUCAUCAGAGUUGACGUCAUCCCUAGGUGGAGGUGCCACGAGCUGCAGCCCCGAAGGAGGGGGGGUCUGUGGAAAUGAACCACAGAGAGAGGGGUCAGCCACACUGACCUCAGGGGCUGCCACCACGGACACCCUUUCACUGUCUGCUCUUCCCUGCAAGAUGGCGGCCACCCCCAGAAGCACAGAAACUACGACACCGGAGGAAGUGACAAGGACACAACCCACCAGCUCUCCGUUGUACCCUUACACAACAGAUGGGAAUGACACCGUGACAGUCUUCAGAUGGCCUUUGGAAUAACAAUCAAACUCAACUGACCCAAGUAUAUAGUCCACAGACGGCCACUACCACUAAGGAACUCUAUGCUGGACUCUGCAUUUCUGUCUUGGUACUUCUUGCUCUUUUAGGUGCCAUCAUUGCCAAGAAAUAUUUCUUCGGAAACAAGACUCCAGAACUAAGUAUUUCGUUUAGCAGCCUUCAAAUUCAAGCUUUGCAAAAUGCAGCUAAAAAGGAAGUCCAAGCAGAAGACAAUAUCUACAUUGAGAAUAAUCUUUAUGGCACGAACUAAGACCCAGUGGUGCUCUUCAGGAGUUUGCAUCCAUGAUUGCAGAAGACAACAGAUAUCAGUGUAUCAGACAUCUUUUAGACUCCAAGAUGGUAAUAACAUAUCAGACAUCUUUUAGACUCCAAGACAAUGUUUCUGUAUCAAUUUUAUCUGGCAUUCCAACAUGUCAGGACUGGGUAGACUGACUCUCUAGCUCCAAACUGUGUAUAGCCGACCUCAUCAUUAAUGUAGUCCUAAUAUUUAUGCUAAAACUGGCUCAAUCCUUCUGAUCAUUGUGGAGUUCUCUCUCAAACAUGAACACCUUAGAAUUGUAUGUUCUCCUUAGACCCCAUAAAUCUUGUAUCCAUCAAAGAGAUUAGUUACUGGAAACAAAGCGAAUGGACCUCUCUCGGCCAUCAGAGCCGUCCAGAAGAGGGAAAUCUAUCUUACAGAUCAGCAAAUUCAAUGUGAGACUUCAUUUGGAAGCAUUGUAUGAUUGUCUCUUGUUUCUGUAUUACAGUUUCAAAAAUUGCAUUGCCUAUGUUUUCCAAAGGUUUCAGAUUAUGGGGUACGUGGGUUUUUAUCUCCUCUAUGGGGAAAGAAAGUGAGUCUAAUUCACUAUAACAGGUAUAGGUCUUUUCUCAUGACUCUGGAAAUGUGAUGCAUUAAGUACUGGAUCGCUGAACUGGGGUAUCUAUUUUACCAGUUAAAAGAGGCUAUAAUAGUAUGAAAAUAAUUUGCCAGGUGAUUCAACACAUUUAUCCUUUUUUUUUUUUAAGAUGGAGUUUCACAGUUUCACUCUUGUUGCCCAGGCUGGAGUGCAAUGGCACCAUCUUGGCUCAUGCAACUUCCACCUCCUGGGUUUCAAGCAAUUCUUCUGCCUUAGCCUCACAAUUACCUGGGAUUACAGGUACCCACCACCACACCUGGCUAAUUUAAAAAAAAUUUUUUUUUUUAGUUGCACUGGGGUUUCACCAUGUUAGCCAGGCUGAUCUUGAACUCUUGACCUCAGGUGAUCCACUGGCCUCGGCCUCCCAAAAUGCUGGGAUUGCAGGCAUGAGCCACCAUGCCCUGCCCAUUUAUGCAAUUUUUUACUACGUCUGUGUCAUGGUGCUAAGCAUUUAAACAACUAUCAGGCUUUCUGAACAAAUUUUUAGAACCAAGAAGGUCAGCAAUAAAAGCAAAAAAAGGUUGGGGUAGGCAAAAGGCUGCCUUUUCUGCCUUAGAAGUUAUAUUACAGGUAUAAUAAUGUUUGAAACUCAUUAGUUUUGACCCAAAUUCUAAAUUGUCUCCAAGCCACUUUUACAUUUAAAAUUGUUCUGGAGGCUAGCGCCAUGGCUCAUGCCUGCAAUCCCAGCGCUUUGGGAAGCCAAGAUGGGCAGAUAGCUUGAGCCCAGAAGUUUGAGACCAGCCUGGGCAACAUGGCAAGAGCCCAUCUGUAUUAAGAAAAAAAAUUAGAACUAAAAUGAAAGAUAAAAUUGUUUUGGAAAGACAAAGCAUUUUCUCAUAUAUAAUCAAUUCCUGUAUUUAAAAAAAAUAAUUCAGUUAAGCUUAUUGUAAGGCUAUCUUCAGUCACCAGUAUAACUGUUCAGAUGUAUAGGUUUGCCAGGGCUAGAUUUAUCAGAAAAGAAACACUUUGACAUGAACAGUUAGGGCUGGGUAUUAAUUUCAAUUUCAGUUUGAGUAAACUCUGAAAUAAUUCAUGCUUGGGGUCCAGAGCUACUCAUAUCAUAGUAGUCUAGGACAACAGGAUGCUUGCUUUCAAAGGAAAAAUAUUUUUUUCUUUUUCUUUUGAGACAGAGAUUUUCUCUUGUCACCCAGGCUGGAGUGCAAUGGCACAAUCUUGGCUCACUGCAACCUCCACCUCCUGGGUUCAAGUGAUUCUCCUGCCUGAGCCUCCUGAGUAGCUGGGAUUACAGAUGCCUGCCACCAUGUCCCAGCUAAUUUUUAUGUUUUUAGUAGAGACAGGGUUUCAUCAUAUUGGCCAGGCUGAUCUUGAACUCCUGACUUCAGGUGAGCCAUCUGCCUUGGCCUCCCAAAAGUGCUGGGAUUACAGGCGUGAGCCACUGUGCCUGGCCAGGGGCAACAUUUUUAACACUUUUCAGAGUUCUAGGUCCUUUGAAGGAAAAUUCUGUGGGCAGGUAAGAUUGUGAAACGUGGUAUUUCAGUUUUCCCAAAUGUGGCUGGCCUAAUCUGGUAAAACAUUUUUUUAAAGAAACUAUAGUGUCUUUUUUUCUUAAAUUUGAGGCAACAUGCACAAAACUGGAGAUUUGAAAUUAAAGCCAAGAUUUGUAGCUUCUCCGGAAAGACCUGGCAAGAUUGGACUGCGUUGCUAUUUGACCAGGACGCCACUAGAUGGGGUUGCAUCCUUGAAUCAUCAAGUCGUUAGUUGCCUUCAUGCUCACUUUUGUUACCUGCCUGGCACCUGUGGGGCUUUUAAAUUUAUCGUACCUGCUCUAUUCUCUGGAUCCUUCCCGGGCAUGUAUGAUGCAUGAUGAAGACUAUAGGAAUCUGGUUAGCUUUGCUUAAUGCAACAUUUCCAAAACUUGUUUGAAUGUAUGAGUAUAGUGACUAGUAGCAUUCUGUGAAGUACAAUGCAUAGGGGCUUAGGAGUUUAGGGUAAUAUCCAGAAUUAGGCACAGGACUUGAGCCUAACCCUAACUCUUAGCAGUUACACUGGAUGACAUUAGAGCAAAUGGUUCUUUACUACAUCUACAGUUUCUUCAUCUGUUCGAGGUAAUCAUUUCCAUAUCAGCUAUGGUGUACAGUGGUAAUUCCAAUGAAAUGUUACAUGUGAGAAGUCUUUGAAGUGUAGAAAACACUACAGAUACUGAAGCAGUUUGGAGAGUUAAAAAACACUACACAAAC
Callithrix jacchus (white-tufted-ear marmoset) is the source of this 17243-nucleotide non-coding RNA. NCBI's taxonomy places the organism in Eukaryota, Metazoa, Chordata, Mammalia, Primates, Cebidae. The record is from RefSeq and is a predicted model, not a curated record.